AUGCGCCGCGCCGUCUUCCUUGGCGCGGGAACGCCACCGUCCGCGCCGGUCUUCGUCACGCUGUCGGGUUCUAUCGCCUACUUCGAGCACCGCCGCCGCUCUUCUUUGGCCGCCGCCGCCGCUACCGCCGUAGCCGCCGCCGCCGCCCGUCCACCUCCAUCGUCUUCAUCCAGCACCAGCUCGUCGCCAGCGUCGCCGUCAUCUAUCCCGACCGCUUCAUCUACUCCGACAACCGCGAGCGACAUUGGCGCCGCGCCGAUUGGCGACGGUCGUCGAGUCCUUCUCUGCUGGCCUCUCCGACUUCUUCGACAUGGCGUACAGCUCGUGCAGGUCCCAGUCUACGCAUGCCCGGUGCUGGCAACACCGAUGCGUGCCUUCAUCCACGACGUGUCCCCGGGCCUGGCAAGCCUGGUGCGGCGCUUCGUCAACUUCGUCUUCGACCGUCUAUGCAUGCCCGGUGCUGGCAACACCGACGCGUGUCUUCGUCUACGAUGUGUCCCCGGGUUUGGCAACCCCGCCGCGACGCGUCGUCAACAACAUCUUCUUCCCGGCGCACCACUACUUCGACACCACUGCGCCCAUGCUAACUCGGCGUCUCCUUGCGCCCGCGGCUCCACGACGACUUCCUCGACACCGGCUACCCCGACUCGACAUCGACCACGGCAUUCUUCGCACGGCUACCUCGACCACGGCUCCACCACCCACGCUCUCGGCUACAUCGACAAACGGCACAAAGGGCUACCGCCUCGCUUGAGCAACCUCGUCGGUUUCCACUCCAGCCACGACUCCGCGAUGCGUCGACCGUUACGACUGUGGGGGGGGUGUCCGUCGGCUUGCCUUCGGAUUCUUCUCCAGUCUCACCGUCUGCGUCGCUACCGUUGUGACUGCGGGGGGAUGUUGAGUAACGUGAUUGUAUUAGGAAACAUAGGUUAG
RNAcentral lists this ribosomal RNA (933 nucleotides) under Triticum aestivum (bread wheat). Its description in RNAcentral is "partial small subunit ribosomal RNA". Lineage: Eukaryota; Viridiplantae; Streptophyta; Magnoliopsida; Poales; Poaceae. The record is from RNAcentral.